UACGAAGGGGGCAAGCGUUGUCCGGAUUUAUUGGGCGUAAAGAGCUCGUAGGUGGUUCGGUAAGUCGGAUGUGAAAUCUCCAGGCUCAACCUGGAGGGGUCAUUCGAUACUGCCGUGACUAGAGGUCGGUAGGGGAGUGUGGAAUUCCUGGUGGAGCGGUGAAAUGCGCAGAUAUCAGGAGGAACACCCGUGGCGAAGGCGGCUCUCUGGGACGGUACUGACGCUGAGACGCGAAAGCGUGGGGAGCGAACAGG
Molecule: ribosomal RNA, 254 nt
Filed under: uncultured bacterium
Lineage: Bacteria
Description: partial 16S ribosomal RNA
Rfam family: Bacterial small subunit ribosomal RNA
Source: RNAcentral